This 459-nucleotide ribosomal RNA is filed under the name uncultured bacterium. Its description in RNAcentral is "partial 16S ribosomal RNA". It matches the Rfam family "Bacterial small subunit ribosomal RNA", at positions 338 to 795 of the family's 1533-position model. The record is from RNAcentral.
CCUACGGGUGGCAGCAGUGAGGAAUAUUGGUCAAUGGGCGGAAGCCUGAACCAGCCAAGCAGCGUGCAGGAUGACGGCCCUACGGGUUGUAAACUGCUUUUAUACGGGAAUAAAGCCCCUUACGCGUAGCGCUUUGCAUGUACCGUAUGAAUAAGGACCGGCUAAUUCCGUGCCAGCAGCCGCGGUAAUACGGAGGAUGCGAGCGUUAUCCGGAUUUAUUGGGUUUAAAGGGUGCGUAGGCGGAUUUUUAAGUCAGCGGUAAAAGGUCCGGGCUCAACCCGGGCCGGCCGUUGAAACUGGGGGUCUUGAGUGGGCGAGAAGUAUGCGGAAUGCGUGGUGUAGCGGUGAAAUGCAUAGAUAUCACGCAGAACUCCGAUUGCGAAGGCAGCAUACCGGCGCCCGACUGACGCUGAGGCACGAAAGCGUGGGGAUCGAACAGGAUUAGAUACCCUUGUAGUC